This 348-nucleotide unclassified non-coding RNA is filed under the name soil metagenome. Its description in RNAcentral is "partial contains 5.8S ribosomal RNA, internal transcribed spacer 2, and large subunit ribosomal RNA". The stretch from base 1 to 120 matches the Rfam family "5.8S ribosomal RNA", at positions 35 to 154 of the family's 154-position model. The record is from RNAcentral.
GAUGAAGAACGUAGCGAAAUGCGAUAAGUAAUGUGAAUUGCAGAAUUCAGUGAAUCAUCGAAUCUUUGAACGCACAUUGCGCCCGCCAGUAUUCUGGCGGGCAUGCCUGUCUGAGCGUCAUUUCAACCCUCAUGCCCCUAGGGCGUGGUGUUGGGGAUCGGCCAAAGCCCGCGAGGGACGGCCGGCCCCUAAAUCUAGUGGCGGACCCGUCGUGGCCUCCUCUGCGAAGUAGUGAUAUUCCGCAUCGGAGAGCGAUGAGCCCCUGCCGUUAAACCCCCAACUUUCCAAGGUUGACCUCAGAUCAGGUAGGAAUACCCGCUGAACUUAAGCAUAUUAAUAAGCGGAGGA